GAUGAACGCUGGUGGCGUGCCUAAUACAUGCAAGUCGAGCGAACAGACGAGGAGCUUUCUCCUCUGACUUUAUCGGCGGACGGGUGAUUAACACGUGGAUAACCUACCUAUCAGACUGGGAUACCUUCGGGAAACCGUAGCUAAUACCGGAUAAUAUAUUGCACUGCAUGGUUCAAUAGUGAAAUACGGUUUUUCUGUCACUUAUAGAUUGAUACGCGCCGCAUUAGCUAGUUGGUAAGGUAACGGCUUACCAAGGCAACGAGGCGUAGCCGACCUGAGAGGGUGGUCGGACACACGGGAACUGAGACAGGGUCCAGACACCUACGGGAGGAAGCAGUAGGGAAUCUUACGCAAGGGGCGAAAGCGUGACGGAGCAAAGCCGCGUGAAGGAUGAAGGUGUUAGGAUCGGAAAGCGAUGUUAGUAGGGAAGAACAAAAGUGUAAGUAACCAGGAAGGUAAUGACGGUACCUAAACAGAAAGCCACGGCUAGCUACGUG
RNAcentral lists this ribosomal RNA (497 nucleotides) under uncultured bacterium. RNAcentral describes it as "partial 16S ribosomal RNA". It matches the Rfam family "Bacterial small subunit ribosomal RNA", at positions 28 to 507 of the family's 1533-position model. The record is from RNAcentral.